CUUUCCAGAGAUGGAUUGGUGCCUUCGGGAACUCUGAGACAGGUGCUGCAUGGCUGUCGUCAGCUCGUGUUGUGAAAUGUUGGGUUAAGUCCCGCAACGAGCGCAACCCUUAUCCUUUGUUGCCAGCGGUUAGGCCGGGAACUCAAAGGAGACUGCCAGUGAUAAACUGGAGGAAGGUGGGGAUGACGUCAAGUCAUCAUGGCCCUUACGAGUAGGGCUACACACGUGCUACAAUGGCGCAUACAAAGAGAAGCGACCUCGCGAGAGCAAGCGGACCUCAUAAAGUGCGUCGUAGUCCGGAUUGGAGUCUGCAACUCGACUCCAUGAAGUCGGAAUCGCUAGUAAUCGUGGAUCAGAAUGCCACGGUGAAUACGUUCCCGGGCCUUGUACACACCGCCCGUCACACCAUGGGAGUGGGUUGCAAAAGAAGUAGGUAGCUUAACCUUCGGGAGGGCGCUUACCACUUUGUGAUUCAUGACUGGGGUGAAGUCGUAACAAGGUAAGCGUAGUGCU
This 513-nucleotide ribosomal RNA is filed under the name uncultured bacterium. Its description in RNAcentral is "bacterial SSU rRNA". It matches the Rfam family "Bacterial small subunit ribosomal RNA", at positions 996 to 1509 of the family's 1533-position model. The record is from RNAcentral.